GACGAACGCUGGCGGCGUGCUUAACACAUGCAAGUCGAACGGAAAGGCCCUGCUUGUGUGGGGUGCUUGAGUAGCGGACGAGUGAGUCACACGUGAGUAACCUGCCCUUGCCUUUGGGCUAACGUCAAGAGACUGGGACUCAUACCGGAUAUGAUCUCCUGCUGCAUGGGGGGGGUUGGAAACUUUCGGCGGGGUUGGAUGGACUGGCGGCCUUUCAGCUUGUUGGUGUGGUGGUGGCCUAGCAAGGCUUUGACGGGUAGCCGGCCCGUGAGGGGGUCCGGGCCCAUUUGGGCUGUGAGACGGGCCCGAGUCCCACGGGGGGCAGCAGUGGGGGAUAUUGCACACUGGGGGGGAGCCUGAUGCAGCGAAGCCCCGUGCGGGAGAAGGGCCUUUUGGUUUUGAACCGCGUUCAGCAGGGUCAAAGCGUGUGGUGGCGGUAACUGGAUAAGAAGCACCGGCUAACUACGUG
This 469-nucleotide ribosomal RNA is filed under the name uncultured bacterium. RNAcentral's name for it is "partial 16S ribosomal RNA". It matches the Rfam family "Bacterial small subunit ribosomal RNA", at positions 28 to 507 of the family's 1533-position model. The record is from RNAcentral.